GAUCCUGGCUCAGGAUGAACGCUGGCGGCGUGCUUAGCACAUGCAAGUCGAACGGACUUUAUAUGAAGCCUAGCGAUUGUAAAGUUAGUGGCGGACGGGUGAGUAACGCGUGAAUAACCUGCCCUGUACCGGGGGACAACAGUUGGAAACGGCUGCUAAUACCGCAUAAGCGCACGGUUCCGCAUGGAACAGUGUGAAAAACUCCGGUGGUACAGGAUGGAUUCGCGUCUGAUUAGCCAGUUGGUGGGG
Molecule: ribosomal RNA, 249 nt
Filed under: uncultured bacterium
Lineage: Bacteria
Description: partial 16S ribosomal RNA
Rfam family: Bacterial small subunit ribosomal RNA
Source: RNAcentral